GCGAAGCCCGGGUGGGUUAGUUAUGCACAUGCAGGAGCGAGGGUGCUGAGUCAGCAGCUGGCUCAGCAUAGCCCGCUCGUCAGCUCUCCCCGGGCACAUUAAUGGGGAGCGGAGUGAAAGGCACGGAGUUAGCCGAGGGUGCCAAUGAACUGAGUAGAGAGACAGCUAAAGGGCUAGCUGGGUGGAAAAGACUCCCCCUGUCCCCCCAGCUGCUAAUACUAUAAGCAGAGGGGAAGGAAAGGCUGGGGAGGAGAGUAGAGAGUCUGAAGGGAGGUAGGACUAGCAGCUAAUAAUAAAACUGGACCCUUUCCCAGAAGCAAGUAGGGGGAAGCUAGUCAAUAUCGUGUGCAAGUAAUACUCUAGGCUCCCUGGCACAGUGGUGGGUGGCUAGAACGCCAGGAGUUGUGGUGAUCAGGCUAGAAAAGACGCCCAGGGCCUGGGAUUCCAUGACAGCACAUCUCAUGGCUGCAGGAAUGCAGAAGAGAAACCCACAAGGUCUGGGGCCUGUCUACAGCACUCCCUUAAUUCCCAGCAGAAAGCCCUGUUGUUUGGGAUGGUGUGUGUGUGUGAGAGAGAAAGAGACUGUCACCUUAAAUGCAAACCUCUGAAUUUAAACAUCACUGAGUUUGACAAAGAACAUGGGAAUAGCCUUACUGGGUCAGACUAAUGAUUCAUCGAGCCCAGUAUCCUGUCCUCCAACAGUGGCCGAUGCCAGAUGCUUCAGAGGGAAUGAACAGGGCAUGGUUAAGGACUCAUCAUUAAAGCACCUCUUACCAGAUGAUCUACAUGGAUCCUAUCUGUGAUAUAAAAAUUACAAGAGGAACCUUGUGAAGGGUUCUGGGUUUGUCCUUCAACAGAACAGGCCAUGGGACCAGCCACCAGGCCCCUCCUGGGGCCUGCCUGGAUCUCUGGGGAUCAGCAGGAGGUCAGAGCCAUCUGCGUGGGGACCGGAUAUCCUUGUGCCAGAUCUGGAUCUCUUUCCUCUCCAGCAAAUUGAAUCCAGCAGAACUGCACUGACAAGGCUCCUACAGCUGGUGUCUGCUCUCCUGACCCAUUUUUAAGGAUAUGAUAAUAUGCUCUAAUUUAGAUCUCAGUGGUGACACCUUCUUGUAUCUCUUUAUUCAGUCUGAAGUAAAAUGCACCCAAAGAUACAAGCAUUUUUAAAGGUCACAUUAUAACUGGAACCUUAAUUUUAAAAUGUUUUGUAAAUUAUUAAUAGCUGUUAUAGGCAUGUUGCAGACAUGAGUAACGUAUUACAACCCCAUUGUUAGAAGAUGUCAUAGAUGAUUAUAAUAUGCAGUCUGUUGAUCUGUUGGACUUGCUGUUGGACUGAUCUGUAACAACUGAUUAAUCAUUUAUUAAAACAUCUACCAAUCCAGUAUUAACCGUUUACAACCUGUGUAGUAAUGGGACAUUUCUGUAUAUAAAGAGUGACAAGUUUUUACUAAUACCAUGGUACUUUGUCUGGCUGUGAUCAUGCAUCAUGGUGCUGUCAGUUGUGAGGGGAAAAUAAGGAGCCUAUUCUUUGGCUUUGGACAUGUGGUCACGCUGCUAGCAGUCCUGUUCCUUUUGUCCCACGAAUUAGCCGGCACAAACAUCCUUCUUAAUAUUCACAAGUCAACAAGUGCAAGGGGAGUUAUCCUGCCUGUGUGAGCGAUGCCUCAUCAUAGGACUACCAAUUGCUGGCUUCUGGAGAACAGGCAAUUCAGAAGUCCAUAUCCAGAAGUCCAAAGGCCUAGUUUGCUAACAUUCAUGUUUGUAAAUUAUCUGCAAUAAUAAGCAAGCAUAAGGAGAAAUGUCAUUUGCUAUAAUGUUGUAGUUCUAGCUGUCACCUCCUAAAUGUUUGUGUAAAGCUGAGGAGUACAUGCUGUACGACACACAGUCAAGGGAUGGCACUGCCGGCUCUUCUACAGCUGAACUGGCCUCAGGGGAGCUACCUUGGGUAAGGCGUCUGUAGCUGUUUGCUCAAUUUAAACCAUGCUCUCGAACUUGCUGCAAAGUGUGUACUGCAACAGGUGUUCUGAGCACACAACUGACAUCUACAGAGGGACUGAUUCGCUUUUCCACUAAAUGGCCCUUUACGACACUCAGGCAGUAUUAAGGAGUCUUAAAGUGUGGAUGUAAUUUACGUCCUCUGUAAUAAUACCUAGCUCUUACAUAGUUUUUCAUGAGUAAAUCCCAAAGCAUUUUACAAGGGAGGUCAGUACCAUUAUCCUAAUUUUUACAGCUAUGGCAACUGAUGCACAGAGAGGGGCAGUGACUUGUCUAAGGUCAUCCAGCAGGUCAGAGCUGGGAAUAGAAUACAAGUCUUGUGAGUCCCCAUCCAGUGUUCUAGCCACUAGGCAACGUUGCCAGAGCAGUGUAAAGGGGCCAAAGGUUUUGCUUUCCCUGCAAAAAAAAAAAAAAAAAAAAAAAAAGCAGCAUGGUUUUUGAAUAGAGCUCACUGUCUUGAUUUACAGUUGUGAAGGAGACACUGUACAGGUCCUCUUGGAGGAGACAUGGUACAGCUAGUCUUCACCUUGAUGUAGCUAGUUAAGGUCAACCCCAUUACUCCCUCCCCCCCCCCACA
Molecule: long non-coding RNA, 2569 nt
Organism: Chelonia mydas (Green sea turtle)
Lineage: Eukaryota; Metazoa; Chordata; Testudines; Cheloniidae
Exons: 3
Source: RefSeq, a predicted model, not a curated record